GACCCCUCCUUGUAAGGUAAGGUAACCUUGAAAGUUACUAAAGAGCAUAGGUGUUCAGGGGUUU
Molecule: transfer RNA, 64 nt
Filed under: Trisidos kiyonoi
Lineage: Eukaryota; Metazoa; Mollusca; Bivalvia; Arcoida; Arcidae
Description: tRNA-Ser
Source: RNAcentral